Molecule: ribosomal RNA, 503 nt
Filed under: uncultured bacterium
Lineage: Bacteria
Description: partial 16S ribosomal RNA
Rfam family: Bacterial small subunit ribosomal RNA
Source: RNAcentral
AUUGAACGCUGGCGGCAGGCUUAACACAUGCAAGUCGAGCGGGGUGAUGGUGCUUGCACUAUCACUUAGCGGCGGACGGGUGAGUAAUGCUUAGGAAUCUGCCUAUUAGUGGGGGACAACAUCUCGAAAGGGAUGCUAAUACCGCAUACGUCCUACGGGAGAAAGCAGGGGAUCACUUGUGACCUUGCGCUAAUAGAUGAGCCUAAGUCGGAUUAGCUAGUUGGUGGGGUAAAGGCCUACCAAGGCGACGAUCUGUAGCGGGUCUGAGAGGAUGAUCCGACACACUGGGACUGGAACACGGCCAAGACUCCUACGGGAGGCAGCAGUGGGGAAUAUUGGACAAUGGGGGGAACCCUGAUCCAGCCAUGCCGCGUGUGUGAAGAAGGCCUUAUGGUUGUAAAGCACUUUAAGCGAGGAGGAGGCUCUUUUGGUUAAUACCCAAGAUGAGUGGACGUUACUCGCAGAAUAAGCACCGGCUAACUCUGUGCCAGCAGCCGCCGUAA